RNAcentral lists this ribosomal RNA (453 nucleotides) under uncultured Paraprevotella sp. RNAcentral's name for it is "partial 16S ribosomal RNA". It matches the Rfam family "Bacterial small subunit ribosomal RNA", at positions 341 to 792 of the family's 1533-position model. Lineage: Bacteria; Pseudomonadati; Bacteroidota; Bacteroidia; Bacteroidales; Prevotellaceae. The record is from RNAcentral.
ACGGGAGGCAGCAGUGAGGAAUAUUGGUCAAUGGUCGAGAGACUGAACCAGCCAAGUAGCGUGAGGGAUGACUGCCCUAUGGGUUGUAAACCUCUUUUGUUGGGGAAUAAAGUGAGCUACGUGUAGCUCAUUGCAUGUACCCAUCGAAUAAGCAUCGGCUAAUUCCGUGCCAGCAGCCGCGGUAAUACGGAAGAUGCGAGCGUUAUCCGGAUUUAUUGGGUUUAAAGGGAGCGUAGGCGGUCUGUUAAGUCAGCGGUUAAAUGUCAGUGCCCAACAUUGUCAUGCCGUUGAUACUGGCGGACUUGAAUACACACAAGGAAGGUGGAAUUCGUCGUGUAGCGGUGAAAUGCUUAGAUAUGACGAAGAACUCCGAUUGCGAAGGCAGCCUUCUGGGGUGCGAUUGACGCUGAGGCUCGAAAGCGCGGGUAUCAAACAGGAUUAGAUACCCUGGUA